RNAcentral lists this small RNA (589 nucleotides) under Trichoderma atroviride. RNAcentral's name for it is "eukaryotic LSU rRNA". The stretch from base 218 to 371 matches the Rfam family "5.8S ribosomal RNA". The record is from RNAcentral. Lineage: Eukaryota; Fungi; Ascomycota; Sordariomycetes; Hypocreales; Hypocreaceae.
UCUCCGUUGGUGAACCAGCGGAGGGAUCAUUACCGAGUUUACAACUCCCAAACCCAAUGUGAACCAUACCAAACUGUUGCCUCGGCGGGGUCACGCCCCGGGUGCGUCGCAGCCCCGGAACCAGGCGCCCGCCGGAGGGACCAACCAAACUCUUUUCUGUAGUCCCCUCGCGGACGUUAUUUCUUACAGCUCUGAGCAAAAAUUCAAAAUGAAUCAAAACUUUCAACAACGGAUCUCUUGGUUCUGGCAUCGAUGAAGAACGCAGCGAAAUGCGAUAAGUAAUGUGAAUUGCAGAAUUCAGUGAAUCAUCGAAUCUUUGAACGCACAUUGCGCCCGCCAGUAUUCUGGCGGGCAUGCCUGUCCGAGCGUCAUUUCAACCCUCGAACCCCUCCGGGGGGUCGGCGUUGGGGACCUCGGGAGCCCCUAAGACGGGAUCCCGGCCCCGAAAUACAGUGGCGGUCUCGCCGCAGCCUCUCCUGCGCAGUAGUUUGCACAACUCGCACCGGGAGCGCGGCGCGUCCACGUCCGUAAAACACCCAACUUCUGAAAUGUUGACCUCGGAUCAGGUAGGAAUACCCGCUGAACUUAA